UUUUUUUCUUGUAUUUUUUUUUUAUUGGAGUUCCAUUUGCCAACAUAUAGCAUAACACCACGUGUUCAUCCCAUCAAGUGCCCCCCUCAGUGCCCGUUACCCAGUCACACCAACCCCCUGCCCACUUCCCCUUCCAUUACUCCUUGUUCGUUUCCAAGAGUUAGGAGUCUCCCAUGUUCUGUCUCCCUCUCUGAUAUUUCCCACUCAUUUUCUCUCCUUUCCCCUUUAUUCCCUUUCACUAUUUUUUAUAUUCUCAGAAAAUAUGAAACCAUAUAAUGUUUGUCCUUCUCUGAUUGACUUAUUUCACUUAUACCCUUCAGUUCCAUCCACGUCGAAGAAAAUGGUAGGUAUUUGUCAUUUCUAAUGGCUGAGUAAUAUCCCAUUGUAUGUAUAGACCACAUCUUUAUCCAUUCAUCUUUUGAUGGACACAGAGGAUCCUUCCACAAUUUGACUAUUGUGGACAUUGCUGCUAGAAACAUCGGGGUGCAGGUGUCCUGCUGUUUCACUGCAUCUGUAUCUUUGAGGUAAAUCCCCACCAGUGCAAUUGCUGGGUCAUAGGGCAGGUCUAUGUUUAACUCUUUGAGGAACCUCCACACAGUUUUCCAGAGUGGCUGCACCAGUUCACAUUCCCACCAACAGUGCAAGAGGGUUCCCUUCUCCACAUCCUCUCCAACAUGUGUCGUUUGCUGUCUUGUUAAUUUCCCCCAUUCUCACUGGUGUGAGGUGGUAUCCCAUUGUGGUUUUGAUUUGUAUUUCCCUGAUGGCCAGUAAUGCGGAGAAUUUUCUCAUGUGCUUGUUGGCCAUGUCUAUGUCUUCCUCUGUGAAAUUUCUGUUCAUGUCUUUUGCCCAUUUCAUGAUGUUGAGUUUAAUAAGUUCUUUAUAGAUCUUGGAUACUAGCCCUUCAUCUGAUAGGUCAUUUGCCAAUAUCUUCUCCCAUUCUGUAGGUUGUCUUUUAGUUUUGUUGACUGUUUCUUUUGCUAUGAAGAAGCUUUGUAUCUUGAUUAAGUCCCAUUAGCUCAUUCUUGCUUUUGUUUCCUUUGCCUUCAUAGAUGUCUCUUGCAAAAAGUUGCUGUGGCCAAGUUCAAAAGGAGCCUUGCUUGUGUUCUCCUCUAGGAUUUUGAUGGAUUCUUGUCUCACAUUUAGAUCUUUCAUCCAUGUUGAGCUUAUCUUUGUGAGUGGUGUAAAAAAAAAUGGUCUAGUUUCAUUCUUCUGCACGUCACUGUCCAAUUUUCCCAGCACCAUUUAUUGAAGAACUUUCCUUUUUCCCGUGGAUACUCUUUCCUGCUUUGUUGAAUAUUAAUUGACCAUAGAGGUGAGGGCCCAUUUCUGGCUUCUCUGUUCUGUUGCAUUGAUCUAUGUGCCUGUUUUUGUGCCACGACCACACUGUCUUGAUGAUCACAGCUUUGCAGUGCAACGUGAAAUCUGGCAUUGUGAUGGCCCCAGUUCUGGUUUUCUUUUUCAAUAUUCCCCGGACUAUCUGGGGUCUUUUCUGAUUCCACACAAAUCUUAAGAUGAUUUGUUCCAACACUCUGAAGGAAGUCCAUGGUAUUUUGAUAGGGAUUGCAAUUAAAUGUGUAAAUUGCCCUAGGUAGCAUUGUUGUUUUUUUUUUUUACAAUAUUAAUUCUUCCAAUACAUGAGCAUGAAAUAUUUUCCAUAUCUUUGUGUCUUCCUCAAUUUCUUUCAGAAGUGUUCUGGAGUUUUUAGGGUAUAGAUCCUUUACCUCUUUGGUUAGGUUUAUUUUUAGAUAUGGUAGGGUUUUGGGUGCAAUUGUAAAUGGGAUUGACUCCUUAAUUUCUCUUUCUUCAGUCUCAUUGUUAGUGUAUAGAAAUGGCCACUGAUUUCUGGGCAUUGAUUUUGUAUCCUGCCACACUGCCAAAUUGUUGUAUGAGUUCCAGCAAUCUUGGGGUGGAGUCUUUUGGGUUUUCUAUGUACAGUAUCAUGUCAUCUGUGAAGAGGGAGUAUUUGACUUCUUCUUUGCCAAUUUGAAUGCCUUUUAUGUCUUUUUGUUGCCUGAUUGCUGAGGCUAGGACUUCCAGUACUAUGUUGAAUAGCAGAGGUCAGAGUGCACAUCCCUGUCCUAUUCCUAAUCUUAGGAGAAAGGCUCCCAGUGUUUCCUCAUUGAGAAUGAUAUUUGCUGUGUGCUUUUUGUAGAUGGCUUUUAAGAUGCUGAGGAGUGUUCCCUCUAUCCCUACACUCUGAAGAGUUGUGAUCAGAAACGGAUGCUGUAUUUUGUCAAAUGCUUUCUCUGCAUCUAUUGAGAGGAUCAUAUGGCUUUUUUUUUGCUGAUAUGAUCAAUCAUAUUGAUUGCUUUACAAGUGUUGAACCAGCCUUGCAUCCUGGAGAUAAAUGCCGCUUGGUCAUGGUGAAUAAUCUUCUUAAUUUACUGUUGGAUCCUAUUGGCUAGUAUCUUGUCAAGAAUUUUUGCAUCUGUGUUCAUCAGGGAUAUUGGUCUACAAUUCUCCUUUUUGGUGGGGUCUUUGGUUUUGGAAUUAAGGUGAUGCUGGCCUCAUAAAAUGAGUUUGGAAGUAUUCCAUCCCUUUCUAUCUUUUGGAACAUCUUUAUUAGGAUAGGUAUUAUUUCUUCUUUAAACAUUUGACAGAAUUCCCCUGGGAAGUCAUCUGGCCCUGGACUUUUGUGUCUUGGGAGGUUUUUGAUGACUACUUCAAUAUCCUCCCUCGUCAUUGGCCUGUCCAAUUUUUCUAUUUCUUCCUGUUCCAGUUUUAGUAAUUUGUGGCUUUCCAGAAAUGCAUCCAUUUCUUCUAGAUUGCCUAAUUUAUUGGCGUAUAGCUGCUCAAAAUACAUUUUAAAAAUAGUUUGUAUUUCCUUGGUGUUGGUUGUGAUCUCUUUUUCAUCUGUGAUUUUAUUAAUUUGAGUUUUUAUCUUUUCUUUUAAUAAGGCUGGCUAUGGUUAGUCUAUCUUAUUCAUUCUUUCAAAGAACCAACUCCUGGUUUUAUUUAUCUCUUCUACAGUUCUUCUGGUCUCUAUUUUAUUAGUUCUGCUCGAAUCUUUAUUCAUUUGUUCAAAUAUGAUUUCUGGCCCUCUGUCCAUCUCAGCGCCCUCUGGAACCCCACUUAUAUGUAGAUUUUUCCUUCUGAGGCUAUCAUUUAUUUCCCUUAACCUUUCCCUAUGAUAUUUUAAUUGUUUUACUUUUUUUUUCUUCAGCUUCCUUCCUUGCCAUCAACUUGUCUGCUAUGUCACUCAUUCUUCUACCUCAUUAACCCUUGUUAUUAGGACCUCCAGUUUGGAUUGCAUCUCAUUUAAUUUAUUUUUAAUUUUGGCCUGAUUAGAUCUAAAUUCUGCAGUCAUGAAGUCUCUUGAAUCCUUAUGUUAUUUUCCAGAGCCACCAGUAGCUUCAUAAUUGUGCUUCUGAAUUGGCUUUCUGACAUAGAAUUAUAAUCCAAAUUAUAUAACUCUGUGGCAGAGAGUACUGUUCCUGAUUCUCUCUUUUGUGGUGAUUUCUUCUUUCUAGUCAUUUUUCUCAGUGCAGAGUGGCUGUAUGAGCAGGCUGAGUCAAGAAUAUAAACCACAACCUAAGUAAAUUUCACCCUAGAUGAUUCUGCCGAAGUCAGAGACCAGAAACUGAAAACAAAGAUCAGAAUGAAAUAAAACAAAAGGACCACUAAAGUGAAAAACAAACUUUAAAACAAAGUAGUAAAAAAUAAAGAGCCAGAAUCCUAAAGAAGAAGAGAAAAAAAAUUAAAAAUUAAAAAAAAAAAAGAAAAAGAAAAAAAAAAA
This 3736-nucleotide long non-coding RNA is filed under the name Canis lupus familiaris (dog). RNAcentral describes it as "lncRNA (ENSCAFG00845005589.1)". The record is from RNAcentral. Lineage: Eukaryota; Metazoa; Chordata; Mammalia; Carnivora; Canidae.